CUUCAUCUAUCCGUGCACGUACAUCACAAAGGUAAGUGGCUAUGCCGCGACGGGAUUGAACCUCUCAUCUCUCACCUCUCACGGCAUAUCAAUCACUUGCAGUACAUCACCGCCGAGAAG
This 120-nucleotide non-coding RNA is filed under the name Drosophila pseudoobscura. RNAcentral also lists the same sequence under 1 other name. Lineage: Eukaryota; Metazoa; Arthropoda; Insecta; Diptera; Drosophilidae. The record is from miRBase by way of RNAcentral.